Long non-coding RNA from Populus trichocarpa (black cottonwood), 701 nucleotides. RefSeq lists it as uncharacterized. NCBI's taxonomy places the organism in Eukaryota, Viridiplantae, Streptophyta, Magnoliopsida, Malpighiales, Salicaceae. The record is from RefSeq and is a predicted model, not a curated record. The transcript has 3 exons.
AGCUGGGAUAAGAGGACAAGUCAGUGGUCUAUUCAGAUACAAGCAUAAAUAUUAACGUUCAUAAAGAACAUUUGUUUGGCCUGCAGAAAUAAUUCCAGAAAUUCAAAUGCAAACGAAUGCUACUGUGGCAUUCAACAUGAUGAAGGCAUUUAGAGAAAACAAGAGUAACUGCCACAACAGAGCCCGGACAUUCUCUUCCAAAUCCUAAAUCCAAUAUGUAACGAAACACGAUGAACAUCCAGAGCAUAAUUGCAUUAGACGUAAGCAUGCGCACAAAUAUCAUGAAGGGUAGAAGCAUUUACAGCUUUGAGAUCAUAUGUUUGGCAGAAAACACCAAAGCAUUCAGACUUGCUUUUGGCUUCUUCAGUCUGAACUGCAACUGGGGCUGGAACUUGACUGCUCAAAGAAGAAAGAAACACGGUAAAAGGAAGUCAACUAAUUAUGCGUGCAUCAAGAAAGAAGAGAGAAAGAGAGAGGAGCUUAAUUACUUGACAGAGCAAGUGAUCUUGAAGUUUUGGGCUCGAGGGUUAGGUCUAGGCGAGCGACUAAAGUGAACAGAGAGACGGGUUGAUGAGAGAGAAAGCUGUGGAGAGUGUAAGCGACUGCUUGUCUUUGUAUAUGUAGAAGUAACAGGGGAUGUGGUUAGGUCAGCCACAGACAUGGUAGCAGUGAAGAAAAUAAGCUUAGAAAAAAACCAGAUA